AACGAACGCUGGCGGCAUGCCUAACACAUGCAAGUCGAACGAGACCUUCGGGUCUAGUGGCGCACGGGUGCGUAACGCGUGGGAACCUGCCCUUAGGUUCGGAAUAACUCCCCGAAAGGGGUGCUAAUACCGGAUAAUGUCUUCGGACCAAAGAUUUAUCGCCUUUGGAUGGGCCCGCGUUGGAUAGCUAGUUGGUAGGGUAAAAGCCUACCAAGGCGACGAUCCAUAGCUGGUCUGAGAGGAUGAUCAGCCACACUGGGACUGAGACACGGCCCAGACUCCUACGGGAGGCAGCAGUGGGGAAUAUUGGACAAUGGGCGAAAGCCUGAUCCAGCAAUGCCGCGUGAGUGAUGAAGGCCUUAGGGUUGUAAAGCUCUUUUACCCGGGAUGAUAAUGACAGUACCGGGAGAAUAAGCGCCGGCUAACUCCGUG
RNAcentral lists this ribosomal RNA (432 nucleotides) under uncultured bacterium. Its description in RNAcentral is "partial 16S ribosomal RNA". It matches the Rfam family "Bacterial small subunit ribosomal RNA", at positions 29 to 507 of the family's 1533-position model. The record is from RNAcentral.